This 478-nucleotide ribosomal RNA is filed under the name uncultured bacterium. RNAcentral describes it as "partial 16S ribosomal RNA". It matches the Rfam family "Bacterial small subunit ribosomal RNA", at positions 28 to 523 of the family's 1533-position model. The record is from RNAcentral.
GACGAACGCUGGCGGCGUGCUUAACACAUGCAAGUCGAACGGUAAGGCCCUUCGGGGUACACGAGUGGCGAACGGGUGAGUAACACGUGGGUGAUCUGCCCUGCACUUCGGGAUAAGCCUGGGAAACUGGGUCUAAUACCGGAUAGGACCCUGGGAUGCAUGUCCUGGGGGGGAAAGCUUUUGUGGUGUGGGAUGGGCCCGCGGCCUAUCAGCUUGUUGGUGGGGUGAUGGCCUACCAAGGCGACGACGGGUAGCCGGCCUGAGAGGGUGACCGUCCACACUGGGACUGAGAUACGGCCCAGACGCCUUCGGGAGGCAGCAGUGGGGAAUAUUGCACAAUGGGCGGAAGCCAGAUGCAGCUACGCCGCGUGAGGGAUGACGGCCUUCGGGUUGUAAACGUCUUUCAGCACCGACGAAGCGCAAAGGACGGGAGGUGCAGAAGAAGGACCGGCCAACUACGUGCCAGCAGCCGCAGUAA